CCCUCAGCCCCUCCCGUUACCGCCCACACCCAUUCAGCGGCUGGGUCGGAGCACGAUUGGUCUGACUCCCUCAUGAUAUCAGGACCCAACGUGGGGUUUCCUGGCUGUGAUUGGGUAGAACGAGGCCACUUUUGCCCAAUCGGGACACAGAAUGAGCUUUCAGACAAGGAAGGGCUUUUAAGGUGGACUGGAGGAGUUGCUGCACAGUCUAAAUUGAGACGUUUGUAUGAAAGUUGAUUUGCUCUCGACUUUACUGUUUUAUUAACGCAAGGAAAAGUACAAAACACGCACAGUUACCUGAGACCGACGAAGCGGACAUGUUUAUCGUUCUCACAGCUUGUGCCUGGUGCUAGCUCACUGCCAGCUAGCUGUAAGUCAGCAGGAAGCUAACCGUGCGCUAUAGGUCGGUUUAACGCAAGAAAGCUGUGAAAAAGUUUUUGUUUCCCACUAGUCAAAAUACCAGUUUAAGUGGAGUGAACUGGUUAGCGGUGCUCGCAGCUGGUUCUGCUCCGGGCUGAGCGUCACUCAGCCGGUGCUGACGCAGGUGGACCCUGGCUCCUCCAGAUGCUUUACUAAACAUAAAGUCAACUCGGACAGGUGUGACGUCACUUCCAGAUGUGGAGCCAUGACGUGUCGUCCACUGGACAUGAACCUUAAGGACCCAGCGUGGGCUUCAACAGCGAGCGCAGAGUCGGGUGGUGAUGAGCGAGGCGGCGUCGGGCGUCCUGUGCAGUGAAGAGGAUCCGCACGCGGCGCCUCUCAGGCCGCUUCCAGAGCAGGUCUGAGACCAGAUCCGUAGCAUCCUUGGCUGCGACCUGCGUAUGUUUACCUCUGGAUUUAUGUGUGAUUAACCAUGAUUGGAUCGCCACCCAAUCAUCCAAGACGCAUUUUAAUGCAAGGUGUAAACUGAGUAAUAAACCUAUCACUCUAAAUAACUGUCUUGUGUGUAUGCGCCAGUGAGGGUGCGCUUGUGCUGCAUAAUAAGCGUGUCCAUUAUAGCUGUUAUGAAUUGGCGCGUGAGCGUCGGAGCGCUGCCGUGUGUGAAUCUCAAUUCAUAUCAGUUCGAGCCUGAGUCUUUGUGCAUGACUGAUUGCUUUGUCUGUCUGACCACAACUGAAAAGGGAUAC
This is a long non-coding RNA of Betta splendens (Siamese fighting fish), 1127 nucleotides long. RefSeq lists it as uncharacterized. The record is from RefSeq and is a predicted model, not a curated record. The transcript has 3 exons. NCBI's taxonomy places the organism in Eukaryota, Metazoa, Chordata, Actinopteri, Anabantiformes, Osphronemidae.